GAUGAACGCUGGCGGCGUGCCUAAUACAUGCAAGUCGAGCGAACGGACGAGAAGCUUGCUUCUCUGAUGUUAGCGGCGGACGGGUGAGUAACACGUGGAUAACCUACCUAUAAGACUGGGAUAACUUCGGGAAACCGGAGCUAAUACCGGAUAAUAUUUUGAACCGCAUGGUUCAAAAGUGAAAGACGGUCUUGCUGUCACUUAUAGAUGGAUCCGCGCUGCAUUAGCUAGUUGGUAAGGUAACGGCUUACCAAGGCAACGAUGCAUAGCCGACCUGAGAGGGUGAACGCCCACACUGGGACGGAGACACGGUCCAGACUCCUACGGACGGCAGAGGUAGGGAAUCUUCCGCAAUGGGCGAAAGCCUGACGGAGCAACGCCGCGUGGGUGAUGAAGGUCUUCGGAUCGUAAAACUCUGUUAUUAGGGAAGACCAUAUGUGUAAGUAACUGUGCACAUCUUGACGGUACCUAAUCAGAAAGCAACGGCUAACUACGUG
This 497-nucleotide ribosomal RNA is filed under the name uncultured bacterium. Its description in RNAcentral is "partial 16S ribosomal RNA". It matches the Rfam family "Bacterial small subunit ribosomal RNA", at positions 28 to 507 of the family's 1533-position model. The record is from RNAcentral.